AUUAUAGUAGUUUAAAUAUAAAACAAUAAUUUGUGGUAUUAUUAAUGAAUAAAUAUUCCUUUAAUC
This 66-nucleotide transfer RNA is filed under the name Coridius chinensis. RNAcentral describes it as "tRNA-His". Lineage: Eukaryota; Metazoa; Arthropoda; Insecta; Hemiptera; Dinidoridae. The record is from RNAcentral.